UGAUCCUGGCUCAGGAUGAACGCUAGCUACAGGCCUAACACAUGCAAGUCGAGGGGAAACGGCAGCUUAGCUUGCUAAGCUGGACGUCGACCGGCGCACGGGUGAGUAACGCGUAUCCAACCUGCCCCACGGUGAGGGAUAACCCGCGGAAACGCGGCCUAAUACCUCAUGGCCUCCGAGUUUGCCAUCAACCUUGGAGUAAAGAUUCAUUGCCGUGGGAUGGGGAUGCGUCUGAUUAGCUUGUUGGCGGGGCAACGGCCCACCAAGGCAACGAUCAGUAGGGGUUCUGAGAGGAAAGCCCCCCACAUUGGAACUGAGACACGGUCCAAACUCCUACGGGAGGCAGCAGUGUGGAAUAUUGGUCAAUGGGCGAGAGCCUGAACCAGCCAAGUAGCGUGCAGGACGACGGCCCUAUGGGUUGUAAACUGCUUUUAUGCGGGGAUAAAGCGGGCGACGUGUCGCCCUUUGCAGGUACCGCAUGAAUAAGGACCGGCUAAUUCCGUGCCAGCAGCCGCGGUAAUACGGAAGGUCCGGGCGUUAUCCGGAUUUAUUGGGUUUAAAGGGAGCGCAGGCCGGGUAUUAAGCGUGUUGUGAAAUGUAGGCGCCCAACGUCUGCACCGCAGCGCGAACUGGUGCCCUUGAGUACGCACGACGUUGGCGGAAUUCGCCGUGUAGCGGUGAAAUGCUUAGAUAUGGCGAAGAACUCCGAUUGCGAAGGCAGCUGACGGGAGCGCUACUGACGCUCAUGCUCGAAAGCGCGGGUAUCGAACAGGAUUAGAUACCCUGGUAGUCCGCGCGGUAAACGAUGGAUGCCCGCUGUUUGCGCAUUAGCGCAAGUGGCCAAGUGAAAACGUUAAGCAUCCCACCUGGGGAGUACGCCGGCAACGGUGCAACUCAAAUGAAUUGACGGA
This 911-nucleotide ribosomal RNA is filed under the name uncultured Bacteroidota bacterium. Its description in RNAcentral is "bacterial SSU rRNA". It matches the Rfam family "Bacterial small subunit ribosomal RNA", at positions 14 to 917 of the family's 1533-position model. The record is from RNAcentral. Lineage: Bacteria; Pseudomonadati; Bacteroidota.